CGAGUGAAGCGGCAACAGCUCAAAUUUGAAAUCUGGCCCCCGGGUCCGAGUUGUAAUUUGUAGAGGAUGCUUUUGGUGCGGUACCUUCCGAGUUCCCUGGAACGGGACGCCAUAGAGGGUGAGAGCCCCGUCUGGUUGGACGCCAAUCCUUUGUAAAGCUCCUUCAACGAGUCGAGUAGUUUGGGAAUGCUGCUCUAAAUGGGAGGUAUAUGUCUUCUAAAGCUAAAUAUUGGCCAGAGACCGAUAGCGCACAAGUAGAGUGAUCGAAAGAUGAAAAGCACUUUGAAAAGAGAGUUAAAAAGUACGUGAAAUUGUUGAAAGGGAAGCGCUCAUGACCAGACUUGGGCUUGGUUGAUCAUCCAGGGUUCUCCCUGGUGCACUCUUCCGGCCCAGGCCAGCAUCAGUUCGCUGUGGGGGAUAAAGGCUUCGGGAAUGUGGCUCCCUCGGGAGUGUUAUAGCCCGUUGUGUAAUACCCUGUGGUGGACUGAGGUUCGCGCAUUCGCAAGGAUGCUGGCGUAAUGGUCAUCAGCGACCCGUCUUGAAACACGGACCAAGGAGUCGUCUUCGUAUGCGAGUGUUCGGGUGUCAAACCCCUACGCGUAAUGAAAGUGAACGCAGGUGAGAGCUUCGGCGCAUCAUCGACCGAUCCUGAUGUUCUCGGAUGGAUUUGAGUAAGAGCAUACGGGGCCGGACCCGAAAGAAGGUGAACUAUGCCUGUAUAGGGUGAAGCCAGAGGAAACUCUGGUGGAGGCUCGCAGCGGUUCUGACGUGCAAAUCGAUCGUCAAAUAUGGGCAUGGGGGCG
This 803-nucleotide ribosomal RNA is filed under the name Cylindrocarpon sp. 795_3_CY03. RNAcentral describes it as "eukaryotic LSU rRNA". It matches the Rfam family "Eukaryotic large subunit ribosomal RNA", at positions 90 to 925 of the family's 3401-position model. RNAcentral also lists the same sequence under 1 other name. The record is from RNAcentral. Lineage: Eukaryota; Fungi; Ascomycota; Sordariomycetes; Hypocreales; Nectriaceae.